This 440-nucleotide unclassified non-coding RNA is filed under the name Hevea brasiliensis (rubber tree). Lineage: Eukaryota; Viridiplantae; Streptophyta; Magnoliopsida; Malpighiales; Euphorbiaceae. The record is from RNAcentral.
UAGAUCCAGUAAUGCAACUUUUUAACAUACGUAUGAAUGUAGUGUCAAUGUAACUAGUAACACAUGCAACAUAGGCACUUUAAUACUAUAUCCUGCAUAUGCUAUCAUUAUUUUACUUCUUAUCGGAUUAUUCAGAUUUUGAUGUCUAGCCAAAAGAAGUUCAUCUAGUAUUCCAUUAGAGAAACUUUUCAACAUGAAAAAAAUGCAAGAUACUAUCUCAAACAUGCUUAACUAGAGUGUUCAUCUGGACAUUUCGAAGAGUGCCUACAUCUUACUGACAAAUGUGGGAGAAACAAGUGCAUCAUAUCCUUUAUUGGUGAUGCUGGUGCAUGAACUUUCUCACUUGGUCUUCCAUAUGGAAUGAAACUAAAAAAAUAAAAUAUGUCUAGUCAACUUAGUAAAUCAUCUCACACAAGAAAGAGAGAGAGAGAAGAAGAAGA